This is a non-coding RNA of Triticum aestivum (bread wheat), 135 nucleotides long. The record is from Rfam. Lineage: Eukaryota; Viridiplantae; Streptophyta; Magnoliopsida; Poales; Poaceae.
UAAAUACUCCCUCCGUCCCAAAAUUCUUGUCUUAGAUUUGUCUAGAUACGGAUGUAUCUAAUACUAAAACGUGACUUGAUAUAUCCGUGUUUAGACAAAUCUAAGACAAGAAUUUUGGGACGGAGGGAGUAUAAG